Actinia tenebrosa (Australian red waratah sea anemone) is the source of this 853-nucleotide long non-coding RNA. Lineage: Eukaryota; Metazoa; Cnidaria; Anthozoa; Actiniaria; Actiniidae. The record is from RefSeq and is a predicted model, not a curated record.
UCUACCUCACCAGGACAACUUACCGGAGAAUUCUCCUCGACGCAGAUACAAUAGAAUAUUUUGGGUACCACAUUCAUAUCAGUUCUAGACUCAUUUUUAAUUCGGUACGCGGACUGCCUUAAAUGUUAUAACGUUACAAUGAAGAGAGGCUAAGAGAAAAAUUAUCUAAUCCCGUGACGCACAAAAACAGCAAAUGCCAGGUACACCACAACUUGUUUUGAUGAAUCAAGGUAGUGUCGAGACAGAGCAAGCAGUUGGUAUCUCCCUGCAGCCCAUCGCAGCAUCUCGUCCCAUCGUUCUGUUAAAUGAGUCAGAUUCUCAUUCAGAGCAUCUGCUGCUUCGCCUUUACUGGCAUGGAGACGAACCUCGCGUCCUUCUUUGAUCAAGGCUUCAAAAGCAGUUUGGCGAUUCCUAAAAGCUGUUUGGAACUCCUAUUAUCAAAAAAUAUAGGAGAGGAAUUUAUCAAAUGACGUUCUUUCCUGCAUGCUUUUUGUGACUUUUUGCCACUGCGUUCAGACUACAUUUAAYCCGUUUUCAUAGGUGACUAACGCCGCGCCUCUGGGGUUCGGUUGGUCGUUCCAUCAAUCAAAACAAACAAAAAACAGACAAACAAAUAAACAAAUGAACGAACAAACAAACAAACAAACAAACRAACGAACGAACGAACGAACAUAUGGUGCUUGUUGUGGUGUAAUUAUAAAGAUAGCAUGAAUAACAACGCAAGUAUAUUAGCUGAUUCGAUCAAAGAUAGUAUUCUACUAACUAUGAUUCGAUGCAGGCAGUACAGCAUCCUCUGUUUAGAGCAUCCACUGACCAUGUGGAAAAUUAAAUACAAUGCUACAGUCAAAGUGAA